ACUGCUAUUGGGAUCCGACUAAGCCAUGCGAGUCGAGAGGGUUCGGCCCUCGGCAGACUGCUCAGUAACACGUGGAUAAUCUACCCUUAGGUGGAGGAUACUCUCGGGAAACUGAGAAUAAUACUCCAUAGAUCCAGGAUGCUGGAAUGCACCUAGAUUGAAAGUUCCGGCGCCUAAGGAUGAGUCUGCGGACUAUCAGGUAGUAGUCAGGGUAAAGACCUGACUAGCCUACGACGGAUACGGGUUGUGAGAGCAAUAGCCCGGAGACGAUAUCUGAGACACGAUAUCGGGCCCUACGGGGCGCAGCAGGCGCGAAAACUUCACAAUGUGCGAAAGCACGAUGAGGGGAUCCCAAGUGUUGGUUCGUAAGAAUCAUCUGUUUCUUUGUCUAAAAAACAGAGAGAGUAAGAGCUGGGUAAGACGGGUGCCAGCCGCCGCGGUAAUACCUGCAGCUCAAGUGGUGGCCGCUAUUAUUGGGCCUAAAACGUCCGUAGCCGGUUUAGUAAAUGCUUGGGUAAAUUGUGUAGCUUAACUAUACGAAUACCGAGUAGACUGCUGAACUUGGGACCGGGAGAGGCUAGAGGUACUCCUAGGGUAGAGGUGAAAUUCUGUAAUCCUAGGGGGACCACCAGUGGCGAAGGCGUCUAGCUAGAACGGGUCUGACGGUGAGGGACGAAGCCCUGGGGCGCAAACCGGAUUAGAUACCCGGUAGUCCAGGGUGUAAACGCUGCUCGCUUGAUGUUAGUUGGGCUCCGAGCCACUAGUGUCGGAAAGAAGUUGUUAACCAGCUGCCUGGGAAGUACGGUCGCAAGGCU
This 815-nucleotide ribosomal RNA is filed under the name uncultured euryarchaeote. Its description in RNAcentral is "bacterial SSU rRNA". It matches the Rfam family "Archaeal small subunit ribosomal RNA", at positions 26 to 850 of the family's 1478-position model. Lineage: Archaea; Methanobacteriati; Methanobacteriota. The record is from RNAcentral.